Molecule: ribosomal RNA, 429 nt
Filed under: Bacteroidota bacterium
Lineage: Bacteria; Pseudomonadati; Bacteroidota
Description: Bacteroidetes bacterium partial 16S ribosomal RNA
Rfam family: Bacterial small subunit ribosomal RNA
Source: RNAcentral
UAGGGAAUCUUCGGCAAUGGGGGGAACCCUGACCGAGCAACGCCGCGUGAGUGAAGAAGGUUUUCGGAUCGUAAAGCUCUGUUGUUAAGGAAGAACGAGUGUGAGAAUGGAAAGUUCAUGCUGUGACGGUACUUAACCAGAAAGGGACGGCUAACUACGUGCCAGCAGCCGCGGUAAUACGUAGGUCCCGAGCGUUGUCCGGAUUUAUUGGGCGUAAAGCGAGCGCAGGCGGUUAGAUAAGUCUGAAGUGAAAGGCAGUGGCUCAACCAUUGUAGGCUUUGAAAACUGUUUAACUUGAGUGCAGAAGGGGGGGGUGGAAUUCCAUGUGUGGCGGUGAAAGGCGUAGUUAUAUGGAGGAACACCGGUGGCGGAAGCGGCUCUCAGGACUAUAACUGACGCUGAGGCUCAAAAGCGUGGGGAGCGAACAGG